This is a long non-coding RNA of Asparagus officinalis (garden asparagus), 350 nucleotides long. RefSeq lists it as uncharacterized. The record is from RefSeq and is a predicted model, not a curated record. The transcript has 2 exons. NCBI's taxonomy places the organism in Eukaryota, Viridiplantae, Streptophyta, Magnoliopsida, Asparagales, Asparagaceae.
CCCGCACAAGAUCACCUGAGCAAGGUGGUAGUGCUCGAAAUCAUGAUCAUCCUCGCUCAUCUGCAAGCAGCCAUCAGCCACGAAAUGAGGAAAACAUCUGAAGAUCCAUGUUUGUCGCUCUUUGGGGAUUUAUUUGUUGUGAAGAUUUAGAACUUAAUCAUCUCAAUAGAGACAUUUUGACCUUUUGAUUAAGUAGUAGCUCUUUGUUUUAAUCAUGGAGGAUUUGUGAUAUGUGCUUACUUUGGUUAGUUUGUGUGUAAAACUUGUAUAGAAUUAUCUCAAUCCUAUUGCUAUAAUAUUGUUCUUCGUUGUAAUAAAUUGUUCAUUAUAUUAAGGCUAAAGUUUGGUUA